CUCUGGAUUCCAGAUGUUUUAAGAAUAUUUUCAGCUGCAUGGCUUGACAGCCUUGGGAUUCCCUCACACAUUCAGUCUUUUUUGGAUCAGUCUGGUGUGAGCAUGAAGACUGAGAGUUGUGGAGCCCAGUUAGCCAAUGAUUGCAAUUGUCCAGGAGACAGAUGAUAGUAAUUAAGUUUCCAUCAGCCUGGAACUCAGGGGACAGAAGAUAGAUAUUCUGUAUGUAGAGAAUCACUGGAGGUCAAAUGUCUUUGCCAAUUUGAUUUUUUCCACUUGAACAAGAGAAGACUGUCAAGGGAAAGCCAAUCAAUUUCACAAUGUUUAGGUAAGUAUAAAUGUAAUAAAGAAUAUUACAUUUGAA
This is a long non-coding RNA of Piliocolobus tephrosceles (Ugandan red Colobus), 361 nucleotides long. RefSeq lists it as uncharacterized. NCBI's taxonomy places the organism in Eukaryota, Metazoa, Chordata, Mammalia, Primates, Cercopithecidae. The record is from RefSeq and is a predicted model, not a curated record. The transcript is spliced from 3 exons.